ACCUGCCACGACCCUGCUGUGGGAGCUGCCCUGAUCCGCUAGCCGCCGCCAACAGCUCCUUUGCCAGGACGAGACCUCUGGGAGGCAGGAAUCCACUCUGCCUCGGCAUCCUCUCGUUGCUCUCCUCUUUCUCCAUCCUGUAGUGUGGGGGUAUUUUCCCGUUAUGCAUGCGCAUCUCUCCCACCAGACCCAAGUGGAUUAUCGACCUCAAAAACAUCGGGUGGCUCAACACACACCUCCUCCCAACCAGACCUGUGGGGUAUUCACCUGAUACACAACAGGUGGCUGGUGCACACCUUUGCGCAAUCUGAUCCACGCUAUACACGCCUGAUAAGGGUGGGCCUGCAUGCUCUGUCCUCAGCUAGAACCGUGGGACACUCGGCAGAUAAAGGACUAACUACCUCAUCCGGACCCUGGGGGUUGAGCAGAGGGAGGCGUCACCAGCUGCUGUGAGAUCAUGGCACGGAGCCCUCAGCCCUGGACCAGGGGAGAUAGCUAGGAUUCUGAAGGAACCAAGUUACACAGGAUUAGCAUCGUUUUGUUCUCAUUUUGUUUCUCAAAAAUUAUUUUUUUCAGUUACUGGUGGGGCACUUUAUAAAACAGUUGACUUGAAUUCUAAGUAGAAGGAUUCUUAAUUGGGCCUUUGUGGGAUAUAAAUCAAGGUAA
This 666-nucleotide long non-coding RNA is filed under the name Rattus norvegicus (Norway rat). RNAcentral describes it as "long non-coding RNA NONRATT018442". The record is from RNAcentral. Lineage: Eukaryota; Metazoa; Chordata; Mammalia; Rodentia; Muridae.